AUGCUCGCUUUGGCAGCACAUACACUAAAACUGGAACAAUACAGAGAAGAUUAGCAUGGUCCCUGCACAAGGAUGACAUGCAAAUUUGUCAAGCGUUCCAUAUUUUU
Molecule: small nuclear RNA, 107 nt
Filed under: Callithrix jacchus (white-tufted-ear marmoset)
Lineage: Eukaryota; Metazoa; Chordata; Mammalia; Primates; Cebidae
Source: RNAcentral